AGUCACCAGGGACCAAGCAGGACUUCUGAGCAGGGGAGUGGCCCAGGCAGAUUGGUGCUUUUGCCCGAUAGCCAGGUCCUUUCUGUUUCUUCUGUUAGCUCUGGUACUCCACUCAGCCAGGGCCGCAUUUGCUGUCUCAUCUCCUGAGUAGUCACAGGGGCAUUUGACCCAGGCUGGUGCUGGAUUCUUGUUCCUGUCCCCACCUGUGGGAGAUGAAGUGUGAUGCAGGUGAGCAUCACCCAUUGCUGUCAGGACCUCCUGGCUCUUAACAGGGUGACAUACCCUCAUUUAUCUACCAUGGGCCCCAUGGGGUGCCAAAGACUGUGCUUGACCCUUUGAGAACAUUUUCUCAUUUAAUUCUCACAACAACCUUAAGAGGCGGUAGCUCCCCCCACACCCACCCACUUCAAAACAGACUAUUUUUCACAGUAGUUUUAGGUUCACAGCAAAUAUGAGCAGGAAGUGCAGGGUUCCUAUGGACUCCCCAGUCUCCCCUGCCCUAGCAUCCUCCACCAGAGAGGCCCCUUUGACAUAAUCAAUGAAACAACAUUGACACCUCAUUUUCUCCCAAAGUCCAUAGUUACAUGGUGGUUCACUCUGGGUGUUAGACACUUUACAGGAUUUAACACAUUUUAGUGCACAUUUAUCAGAGGUGAUCAGCAAGGCCCAGAGGGUUAUGCCAAGUUCACAUAGCAGGGAGUGGAGGGACCUGCCACAUGGCUUCCUACUGAGGACCCACCUUGAGGCUGGCACAAGUUGGCCACUGCAGUUGGCCUAAGCUGGGCAGAGCUGCCACCUUGGAGGGACCCACAGCAGGGCACAGAUGUUCCUUUUGCACUGCAUUCCCACAGCCUCAGUGAGGCUGACACUCACGGAGCUUUCUCCAGCACUGAUUGGCAGCAUGACACAGAAGCGUUUAUAGGAUUGAACAGGCUGGCACUUGAGACAUUCCUAGAGUAAUGCAGGAAAAUCCAUCAGACUUUGUGACACGGGUGGAUGACAAUUUCUGUUGGAAUGGGUCACUGGACCUUAUGAAUGCACCAUCUGGGCGGACCCCCUCAUGCUAUCUCCAGGUGUCUGGGAAGGCCUGGGUUUGGGAUCAGCAUCUCCACCUCAUCCUUGGGACACUUCUGGGCUCUCCUGGCCAAGCUCUGGCCUCCUGGGCUGUGACACACCAGCUCUCCCUGGCCUGCCAGGUCCCAGGGCAACAAAUGCUCUGCCCCUUUCAGGACUGGCCUGGCUCCCCCUGGGUAGAUAGCCAGGCCCAAAAGCUGGGUUUCUGUCUCACAGCCACAUGGGCCAGUGAAAAGAGACCGGCUCUGGAGUGUAUCCACACGACCUUGGCCAAGACCCUCAGUGUCCUUCUCUGAUGUUUGUGGUAUU
This 1383-nucleotide long non-coding RNA is filed under the name Marmota monax (woodchuck). Lineage: Eukaryota; Metazoa; Chordata; Mammalia; Rodentia; Sciuridae. The record is from RNAcentral.